RNAcentral lists this long non-coding RNA (1639 nucleotides) under Dromaius novaehollandiae (emu). RNAcentral describes it as "lncRNA (ENSDNVG00000016002.1)". Lineage: Eukaryota; Metazoa; Chordata; Aves; Casuariiformes; Dromaiidae. The record is from RNAcentral.
UAUGUCUGAAUCUGAUACCUGUGCAGAUCAGGCUGGUCUUAAUCUUGUACACAAAAACUUUCCCAGAACUUUCUCUCUGCUGGACUGAUCUACAACUGUUUGAGGUCUGCCAUUCCAGAAGCAAUUGUUUUUAAAGAACAAAAGAAACCGUACCAGCCCGCUGCCACACGCUAAGUGCAGAACCAGCAUGCGAGAACGAAACUAACUGAGCUCUGUGCUCACGGCCCAAAACCGGAGGAAAACCACGAGCAGGCACAGCAGAGCAGGUAGCGGGGCGGGGGGGGAGGUUUAAUGACAUCGGUGUCAGCAGYUCGCGGUCUGCUACAGCUCCAGCUCCUGGCGCCGUACGGCGCAGCCCGACAGCAGMCCGAGGCGGCCGCGGGGAGCGGCACUGCUUCACCGCUGCUCCCGGGCCGCCCCCCGCGGGGGCGGGGCAGGGCAGCGCCGGGGCCGAGCUGUCUGCCCGCCCUGACCUCUAGCCUGGGCGGCCGGCGUCCUUCCUCUUCCUCCGGCUGCUCUCCUGGGAGCGCGAAUAUAGGUCACGUGAGGCGCGAUUCMGAUCUGACGAGUUCAGGAUGCAAUCCUGGUCUUACUGAAGUGAAUUGCAGAGCUCCCGUACCUACAAUUCUUCUUAAGUAGAAACUCUCUUCUCCGUAAAUACCUGGGGAGAAAGGCAACACACAAGCCCAGAAUGAAGAGAAGAUGAAAGAAAAUUCCAGAUCAUAUGUGGAGGCAGAGAGGAUUAAAAAAUAGCAGGUAGCUGGGAGCAUGUCACAACACAUCAAAUCAUGAUGGAAAGGCAGAAGACAACUUUUGGAGUGUUCCAUUUGGAAGAUGGUAAAAGAUCUGCUCUACUCUGACUGAAAUCCAAUGAAGAAAGCUUGCAAAGUAGCUGUUGGGGAUUAUUACAAUUCAGUGAGUGGCCAGCACAUCUCCUGGCUGAUCUCGGGGUAAGGGAAAUUCAAAGGCAGCUUAAACAUAUUCAUCCAAAACCAAAUACACWCCCAUAAUCUUGUCUCGAGCACAGAAACAGAAGAAUGGAACAUGUGUUCAUGGAUCUUUCCUGUCCACUCCCUCCUCUUUCCCAGUUUUAAGUACCUGGGGCAUAGUCAUAGAUAGAAAAUGGAAAAUGUUUCCUCAUCUUUUUCUUUUCCUGGAGAAACCUGACACUUUGAAAAAUAAGGAGUAAGCUUAUGCUGCCCUUACUGUCUGAAAGCAACUGGAUGUAAURUCAUGUGGCAGCUCAAAAUCUCAGUGUUACGGAACCGUGAAUGUUGUUGGGGCCUGGAUAUAGCAUUAUUCCAGUGAUACGUCUUUUUUCUGCUUUUUGAAAAUGAAUUUUCCACUAAGAUUAUGACUGCCAGAUUUCCUGCACCAUUUUCUACCCUCAAAUAUCUUAGAGGCUCCCAUCAUCUUAACACAAACUAUAAAAGGAAUGAUGUGGCCCUGGGACCACCUAUGUGCCUGUUACUAUGACACUUCAGACCACUGGUAGGCUGAAGAUAAGCCUUUUGAAACCCUUGUGUGAGUGAAUAGCCUUGCUCCCCGCUUACUAAAUUCAUUUAACUAGCUACAUUGUCAGCUUAUACUGUGAGCCGUGCAUUCUUUGAGAUGAAGCAUGUUACUCUUUAAAUAAUAG